Molecule: long non-coding RNA, 535 nt
Filed under: Salmo salar (Atlantic salmon)
Lineage: Eukaryota; Metazoa; Chordata; Actinopteri; Salmoniformes; Salmonidae
Description: lncRNA (ENSSSAG00000086295.1)
Source: RNAcentral
CAUACCGUCUGCAAAAAAAAAGGGGGGAAAUCACAUUCCUCGCUUGUCAGAGCUGGACUCUAAGGUCUUUCUAAGGUUCAGGGUAGAGUACCGGGUGGUAGCUGGCUAGUAACAGGUUCAGGGUAGAGUACCGGGUGGUAGCCGGGUAGUAACAGGUUCAGGGUAGAGUACCAGGUGGUAGCCGGGUAGUAACAGGUUCAGGGUAGAGUACCGGGUGGUAGCCGGCUAGUAACAGUAACUAAGGUUCAGGGUAGAGUACUGGGUGGUAGCCAUAACAGUGACUAAGGUGCAGGGUAGAGUACCGGGUGGUAGCCGGCUAGAAACAAUGACUAAGGUUCAGGGUAGAGUACCGGGUGGUAGCCAGCUAGUGACAGGUUCAGGGUAGAGUACCGGGUGGUAGCCGGCUAGUGACAGGUCCAGGGUAGAGUACCGGGUGGUAGCCGGCUAGAAACAGUGACUAAGGUUCAGGGUAGAGUACUGGGUGGUAGCCGGCUAGUAACGGUGACUAAGGUUCAGGGUAGAGUACUGAGUGGUA